GCACAAAGAAUAAAGCUUUCAAAAGAAUUAUCAAAACGCUCCACUGGAAAAACAUUAUACAUUUUAGACGAACCUACAACCGGAUUGCAUUUUGCAGAUAUAAAUAACUUACUGACAAUACUGCACAAGUUGGUUGAUACGGGAAAUACGGUGAUAGUUAUUGAACAUAAUUUAUACGUUAUAAAGACGGCAGAUUACAUAAUAGAUAUCGGACCAGAGGGGGGUGCAAGAGGUGGCAGAGUGGUAGCCAGAGGAACGCCAGAAGAGGUAGCUAGCAUGCUAGAAAGUGUUACUGGCAAAUAUCUUAAACAACACCUGCAAAAUUAGCGCAAGCA
Molecule: non-coding RNA, 335 nt
Organism: Cinara cedri
Lineage: Eukaryota; Metazoa; Arthropoda; Insecta; Hemiptera; Aphididae
Source: the annotation of a GenBank genome assembly